GUCGACGAUGAACCACUUCGGUGGGGAUUAGUGGCGAACGGGUGAGUAACACGUGGGCAAUCUGCCCUGCACUCUGGGACAAGCCCUGGAAACGGGGUCUAAUACCGGAUACUGAGCCACUUGGGCAUCCAAGUGGUUCGAAAGCUCCGGCGGUGCAGGAUGAGCCCGCGGCCUAUCAGCUUGUUGGUGAGGUAAUGGCUCACCAAGGCGACGACGGGUAGCCGGCCUGAGAGGGCGACCGGCCACACUGGGACUGAGACACGGCCCAGACUCCUACGGGAGGCAGCAGUGGGGAAUAUUGCACAAUGGGCGAAAGCCUGAUGCAGCGACGCCGCGUGAGGGAUGACGGCCUUCGGGUUGUAAACCUCUUUCAGCAGGGAAGAAGCGAAAGUGACGGUACCUGCAGAAGAAGCGCCGGCUAACUACGUGCCAGCAGCCGCGGUAAUACGUAGGGCGCAAGCGUUGUCCGGAAUUAUUGGGCGUAAAGAGCUCGUAGGCGGCUUGUCACGUCGGUUGUGAAAGCCCGGGGCUUAACCCCGGGUCUGCAGUCGAUACGGGCAGGCUAGAGUUCGGUAGGGGAGAUCGGAAUUCCUGGUGUAGCGGUGAAAUGCGCAGAUAUCAGGAGGAACACCGGUGGCGAAGGCGGAUCUCUGGGCCGAUACUGACGCUGAGGAGCGAAAGCGUGGGGAGCGAACAGGAUUAGAUACCCUGGUAGUCCACGCCGUAAACGGUGGGCACUAGGUGUGGGCAACAUUCCACGUUGUCCGUGCCGCAGCUAAC
This 780-nucleotide ribosomal RNA is filed under the name Streptomyces sp. RNAcentral describes it as "bacterial SSU rRNA". It matches the Rfam family "Bacterial small subunit ribosomal RNA", at positions 61 to 856 of the family's 1533-position model. Lineage: Bacteria; Bacillati; Actinomycetota; Actinomycetes; Kitasatosporales; Streptomycetaceae. The record is from RNAcentral.